AGCAGCCGCGGUAAUUCCAGCUCCAAUAGCGUAUAUUAAAGUUGUUGCAGUUAAAAAGCUCGUAGUUGAAUUUCGGGGUUAGUAGGUUGGUCAUGCCUCUGGUAUGUACUGGUCUCACUGAUUCCUCCUUCCUGAUGAGCCGUAAUGCCAUUAAUUUGGUGUUGCGGGGAAUUUGGACUGUUACUUUGAAAAAAUUAGAGUGUUUAAAGCAAGCUAACGCUUGAAUACAUUAGCAUGGAAUAAUGAAAUAGGACGUUCGAUCCUAUUUUGUUGGUUUCUAGGAUUGACGUAAUGAUUAAUAGGGACAGUCGGGGGGCAUCAGUAUUCAAUUGUCAGAGGUGAAAUUCUUGGAUUUAUUGAAGACUAACUACUGCGAAAGCAUUUGCCAAGGAUGUUUUCAUUAAUCAGUGAACGAAAGUUAGGGGAUCGAAGACGAUCAGAUACCGUCGCAGUCUUAACCAUAAACUAUGCCGACUAGGGAUCGGGCGACCUCAAUUUUGAUGUGUCGCUCGGCACCUUACGGGAAACCAAAGUGUUUGGG
This 541-nucleotide ribosomal RNA is filed under the name uncultured Glomeromycotina. Its description in RNAcentral is "SSU rRNA". It matches the Rfam family "Eukaryotic small subunit ribosomal RNA", at positions 569 to 1111 of the family's 1831-position model. The record is from RNAcentral. Lineage: Eukaryota; Fungi; Glomeromycota.